CACGGAGCAUUUUGGUGUAUUCUCUUCAGGUUCCUGUGCUGUCUACCUUCGGAAUGGUAUUUAACCGACCUCGAAUAUUUGGUUCAUCCGUAUCUCUUUAUGGGAUGAUGGUGGAUUUUAAUGCAACGCCUGUGUUCCACAUCAGUUCUUCAUUGUGAAGUUUCUGUGGCAUGCAUGUGGCUGUUGUUCUUUCGGAUGCAGUGCAUGCGAUAAUCGUGGGUUUAAGUGUCCCGUUCGGUUUCUAAAUUUUCGGUUGCCUUAGAAUGACAUCUGUCUSGGUGCCUGUGAUGUUUUCCCUUCAGGGGGGACAACAUUUGCGCCCUGAGCACGGUCAUUAACGGGUGUUA
RNAcentral lists this unclassified non-coding RNA (347 nucleotides) under Macropsychanthus malacocarpus. Its description in RNAcentral is "Dioclea malacocarpa partial external transcribed spacer". The record is from RNAcentral. Lineage: Eukaryota; Viridiplantae; Streptophyta; Magnoliopsida; Fabales; Fabaceae.